Molecule: small nuclear RNA, 310 nt
Filed under: Castor canadensis (American beaver)
Lineage: Eukaryota; Metazoa; Chordata; Mammalia; Rodentia; Castoridae
Description: 7SK RNA (ENSCCNG00000009377.1)
Rfam family: 7SK RNA
About the family: 7SK was discovered as an abundant small nuclear RNA in the mid-70s but a possible function has only recently been suggested. Two independent studies have found that 7SK RNA binds the CDK9/cyclin T complex (known as elongation factor P-TEFb).
Source: Rfam by way of RNAcentral
GGAUGUGAGGGCGAUCUGGCUGCGACAUCUGUCACCCCAUUGAUCGCCAGGGUUGAUUCGGCUGAUCUGGCUGGCUAGGCGGGUGUCCCCUUCCUCCCUCACCGCUCCAUGUGCGUCCCUCCCGAAGCUGCGCGCUCAGUCGAAGAGGACGACCAUCCCCGAUAGAGGAGGACCAUUCUUCGGUCAAGGGUAUACGAGUAGCUGCGCUCCCCUGCUAGAACCUCCAAACAAGCUCUCUCAAAGAGUGUUACAUUUAAAUCCUGACAGCCCCUUCCUCCCUCAGGUUACCUAUGUAGGUGUGGCCUUAAAG